Molecule: ribosomal RNA, 253 nt
Filed under: uncultured bacterium
Lineage: Bacteria
Description: partial 16S ribosomal RNA
Rfam family: Bacterial small subunit ribosomal RNA
Source: RNAcentral
UCCGGAGGGCGCAAUCGUUGUUCGGAAUCAUUGGGCGUAAAGCGCGUGUAGGCGGCUUGGCAAGUCGAGUGUGAAAGCCCGGGGCUCAACCCCGGAAGGUCGCUCGAAACUGCCUCGCUAGAGUCCCGGAGAGGAAGGCGGAAUUCCCGGUGUAGAGGUGAAAUUCGUAGAUAUCGGGAGGAACACCAGCGGCGAAGGCGGCCUUCUGGACGGUGACUGACGCUGAGACGCGAAAGCGUGGGGAGCAAACAGG